Molecule: ribosomal RNA, 232 nt
Filed under: uncultured bacterium
Lineage: Bacteria
Description: partial 16S ribosomal RNA
Rfam family: Bacterial small subunit ribosomal RNA
Source: RNAcentral
UGCGUAACGCGUAUGCAACCUACCUCUUACUGGGGAAUAGCCCGAAGAAAUUCAGAUUAAUGCCCCAUAUGCUCGUACGGCCUCAUGGUCGAGCGAGGAAAGCUCCGGCGGUAAGAGAUGGGCAUGCGUCCUAUUAGCUUGUUGGUGAGGUAAUGGCUCACCAAGGCUACGAUAGGUAGGGGGCCUGAGAGGGUGACCCCCCACACUGGUACUGAGACACGGACCAGACUCC